Molecule: long non-coding RNA, 2495 nt
Filed under: Nicotiana tabacum (common tobacco)
Lineage: Eukaryota; Viridiplantae; Streptophyta; Magnoliopsida; Solanales; Solanaceae
Description: long non-coding RNA (NTAB_LNC014636)
Source: RNAcentral
GUAAAUGGAAAUCAUGAAAAUUAUAUAUUCUUUCUGGGAAUGUUAACUGAAGAAUAAUAUACAGUCACCGAUAAAAAAAGAAUGAUACAUAUUUGCUUGGAUUAUGAGAUGAUUAUAACUAUUCUUGCGAUACCUUCCUCACUUUAAUACUAACUUGAAAACUUAGAGUUUGUUUCAAUGGUAAUAUAUGCAUUUUCUUUCAACAAAAGUUACAAGACUCCGACGUUUCUUAUCAGACAUUUUGUAAACUGUUUAUGGUCUCCGCAAUUGUUACUGCAUGAUUGUUUCCCAAUUUGCCAAUGUCUCAUAGUUUAUUGCUUUGGAGGGAUAUUAUUUGAUUGUUCAGUUAUAGCCCUGCAUAAAAAUAAUACUUAUUUCGUUACUAAGUUGCAGUAAUAUCACCCUUGUAAGGCUACAAUAUAAUUAUGCUCCAUGUUACGAAAUAUCAAGCAAAAAUCAAGAGAUUUUCUAUACUUUAAACUGAGCAUAGAACAUUAAACUCCAAGAUUAAUAAGACAUGGAGAAGGUAAGAGGAAGGAGUUCUCGAUCAACAAAUCUAAUUUAAGGAAAACCUAGUCAAAAUAUUAAAGGUUUACCUAUUGUACUUGAUUACAUUAAUUAUCAAGUACGGUAAGAUAUUGAACAAAAAUAAAAGAGCAAGGAAUUCAUGAAGCUAUAAGGUAUCAUACUCGAGGUUUUUUCCCCUUGAAAUCCUUUAAACUUUUGGGUUCAACACUCAUUACAUGGAAGCAAUAUAAGUCUGAACUCCAACUCAUUAGACCGGUCAUCAAUCAAAUGAUCCCUUGAACUUAUACAUGAAGUGGAGAUAGUAAUAACUUUUCUCACGGGCUACGAACAGAGCAAAGAGCUAUAUAAACAACAAAAAUGUCUAAAAGUAUGUUCGAGGAAACUAACAUAAAACCUAUGAAAGUCAAGCAGUAGACUUGAACAACAAUGGAACACAUUAAAAGCUAAUCAAAAUAAUAGGCAAUCAAACGGAUGAAUAUGAAAGUAAUUAAGUUAUGAAGUAGUGAGUUUAAAUGGGGAAAGGAACAUGGCUAUAGGCUACUUAUUUAAAUUGGAAAACUACUUAGAAGAGACAUAUCAAAUUAGUUUUUUCUUUUUAAAUAAUAAAUCAAUAUAUCCAAAAAGUAGAACACAGUCAAAAAUUUAAGAAUAAAGUUAAAUAGAUCCUGGAAAGACUUUAAAAGAUGAAAAAUAAAUAGAGAUUAUAUCUCAUUGGAGUAGCACAUUAUGUAUCUCCGUUUGGGUCUAAAAUUUGUAUAUACAAAUGACAUAUCAACUGUAAGAAAUAAUUUAUCAAAUUUACUACACUUACAGUAAAGUUUCAAGCUUCUCAAUCAUCAUUAUCAAAAUUAGGUGCGCGAAAAAGAUAAAACACCCCAAAAGGCUUAUUUCUUAUGGGUAUCCUAUAUGAAACAUGACCCUUAUACAAUCCAACCAAAAAGUAUCAACCAAUAAAUUCAAGAAAAAGUAAAAAAUACAGAAACAUCAACUUUUAUGAAAUUACUCAAAGGACAAACCUCAAUGGAAGAAGUAGGGGUAGAGCCACCAUCAGUACCACCAGUCUACCUUGUUGCUUCUGAUGUUAAACUUUGGCGAAAACCAACACGAUUGGUUAUUUAUAACAAAAUCAAAUAAAAUAAGAUCGGCAAAAGAAUCAGCAAAAUUAAUAUGUGUUUGUCUACUUUCAAUCUAAAAAUUCAUAUUGAUCGAAUAUAAUUAAGCGCUAACAAAUUACGUAAAGAAACAUAUUAGAUAUUCCCUAAGUUGAUAUAAACAUGGGGUGUGAACGAUAAAAUAUGUAUUAUUAAGAUAGCUACUAUUAGUCGCAAGUUUAUGUUAGUGUAUAAGUGAUACAAAUUCGGUUAGUAGACACAAUAAUUAAAUAAAAGUAGAUGUUGAUACAAAAAUUAACUUAGAAGGAAAAGAGGAGAAGGAAGGCAUUACCAAGUAAUGAUAAUAGUGGUUGAUCUUUUACUUUGAAAAAAAAAAGUUUCUUUUCUCUUUUGUGAUUGCAGCACCAACAAAGUGAAUGCAAGUGAUGAAAAACUUGAUUUAUUUGUGACUAACAUAUACUGAAAUCACAAUCAAAAAUUAUUUUCCCAAUAAACAGAAAAUCAAGAGAGCAAAAAAUGAAGAACAUCAAAUUUAAAGCAAAAAUUUUAGAUCCGUAAAAUCUGAAAUAUCCACUUUCAGUUUUUGAUAUUUUUUAAAAAAGGAAAAAGAUUUACCGGCCCUUUUUGUCGCUUAAGCUACCAACUUGAAUGACAACUAUUGGAUUUCCAUUCAGAUCACGACAUGCGAUACAAUUUUUUCAUUAGUUUGAUAGAUUUCCAGUGGUUGGUUUUUUCCCGUGGAAGAGAAGAGACAGUCGAAUCAGGAAAAGGGUAUUUUAGAAACUGUUGGAAAUGAUUAUAAGUGGAAACGUUUUGGGUUUUCUAAAUAAUUUUACCGCUGACGUUUAGAGAGAC